GAGUUUGAUCGUGGCUCAGAUUGAACGCUGGCGGCAUGCCUUACAUAUGCAAGUCGAACGGCAGCAUGAUCUAGCUUGCUAGAUUGAUGGCGAGUGGCGAACGGGUGAGUAAUACAUCGGAACGUGCCCUGUAGUGGGGAUAACUAGUCGAAAGAUUAGCUAAUACCGCAUACGACCUGAGGGUGAAAGUGGGGGACCGCAAGGCCUCAUGCUAUAGGAGCGGCCGAUGUCUGAUUAGCUAGUUGGUGGGGUAAAGGCCCACCAAGGCGACGAUCAGUAGCUGGUCUGAGAGGACGAUCAGCCACACUGGGACUGAGACACGGCCCAGACUCCUACGGGAGGCAGCAGUGGGGAAUUUGGACAAUGGGCGAAAGCCUGAUCCAGCAAUGCCGCG
Molecule: ribosomal RNA, 394 nt
Filed under: uncultured microorganism
Description: bacterial SSU rRNA
Rfam family: Bacterial small subunit ribosomal RNA
Source: RNAcentral